This 253-nucleotide ribosomal RNA is filed under the name uncultured bacterium. RNAcentral describes it as "partial 16S ribosomal RNA". It matches the Rfam family "Bacterial small subunit ribosomal RNA", at positions 524 to 776 of the family's 1533-position model. The record is from RNAcentral.
UACAGAGGUCUCGAGCGUUAGGCGGAAUCACUGGGCUUAAAGCGUGUGUAGGCGGAUCGUUAAGUGCCUUGUGAAAUCCCACGGCUCAACCGUGGAACUGCUUGGCAUACUGGCGGUCUUGAGCAACCUAGGGGCGAGCGGAACAAAUGGUGGAGCGGUGAAAUGCGUAGAUAUCAUUUGGAACGCCAAUGGUGAAAACAGGUAGCUGGGAGUGUGCUGACACUGAGACACGAAAGCCAGGGGAGCGAACGGG